RNAcentral lists this ribosomal RNA (708 nucleotides) under Triticum aestivum (bread wheat). RNAcentral's name for it is "partial small subunit ribosomal RNA". The record is from RNAcentral. Lineage: Eukaryota; Viridiplantae; Streptophyta; Magnoliopsida; Poales; Poaceae.
AUGGAUCAAAACAUCUUCCAAAGAUUCUAUGUUUGUUUCAAUGCAAUGAAAAAAGGGUUUAAAGCAUGCAGAAGGGUUAUUGGGCUUGAUGGUUGUUUCUUCAAAGGAGCUUGUCAAGGUGAACUUCUUUGUGCUAUUGGUAGGGAUGCUAACAACCAAAUGUACCCAAUUGCUUGGGCAAUAGUGGAGCAAGAAACUACAAAAAGUUGGGAGUGGUUUAUUGGCCUUCUGAUCAAAGACUUGGACAUAAAUGAUCAAGGUGAAGGCUGGGUGUUCAUUUCAGAUCAACAGAAGGGCUUGAUCAGUAGCAUGCAGGAUUUUCUGCCAAAAGCACAACAUAGGAUGUGUGCUAGACACAUCUAUGCUAACUGGAGGAAGAAGUACAGGGAGCAUGCUUUACAGAAGAAGUUCUGGUCUAUUGCAAAGGCUGCAAAUAGAGAAGAUUUCAUGUACAGAAAAGCAAAGUUGGCUCAAGACACACCUGAAGGAGCAAGAGACAUAAUGAGAACAGAGCCUAAGCACUGGGCCAGAGCUUUUUUCCCUGUGGGUUCACUAUGUGACUCAGUGGACAAUAACUUAUGUGAGUCCUUCAACAAUUCAAUCAUUGAGGCCAGAUUCUAUCCUUGCAUAUCCAUGCUGGAAAAGGUUAGACAAAAAAUGACAAAGAGAGUUCAAGAAAACAGAGAGAAAUCUGAUAAAGUGGACUAA